AUUGCUUCUUGGCCUUUUGGCUAAGAUCAAGUGUAGAAUCAUUGUGGAUGGGAGAAAGGUAAUGAUGAAGAUAGCAAAGAAUUCCACAUGGAUAAUUUCUGAGUCUUUGCAUGUUUCUGGAGUCUGCCUAGAUAUGUUAGGUAAACCUCUGACUACUGUUUUAAAGCUUGAAGCCUGGGAUUAUCUAUC
Small nuclear RNA from Neomonachus schauinslandi (Hawaiian monk seal), 189 nucleotides. RefSeq annotates it as U2 spliceosomal RNA. The record is from RefSeq and is a predicted model, not a curated record. The transcript has a single exon. Lineage: Eukaryota; Metazoa; Chordata; Mammalia; Carnivora; Phocidae.